GGGCGGUUGGCGCAGUUUGGUUAGCGCGCAUGCUUGACAUGCAUGAGGUCACAGGUUCGAGUCCCGUACCGCCCACCU
RNAcentral lists this transfer RNA (78 nucleotides) under Cyanobacteria bacterium UBA8530. Its description in RNAcentral is "tRNA-Val". It matches the Rfam family "tRNA". From Rfam's summary of the family: Transfer RNA (tRNA) molecules are approximately 80 nucleotides in length. The record is from RNAcentral. Lineage: Bacteria; Bacillati; Cyanobacteriota.